AGAGUUUGAUCCUGGCUCAGGAUGAACGCUAGCUACAGGCUUAACACAUGCAAGUCGAGGGGCAGCAUUUUAGUUUGCUUGCAAACUGAAGAUGGCGACCGGCGCACGGGUGAGUAACACGUAUCCAACCUGCCGAUAACUCCGGGAUAGCCUUUCGAAAGAAAGAUUAAUACCGGAUAGCAUACGAAUAUCGCAUGAUAUUUUUAUUAAAGAAUUUCGGUUAUCGAUGGGGAUGCGUUCCAUUAGUUUGUUGGCGGGGUAACGGCCCACCAAGACUACGAUGGAUAGGGGUUCUGAGAGGAAGGUCCCCCACAUUGGAACUGAGACACGGUCCAAACUCCUACGGGAGGCAGCAGUGAGGAAUAUUGGUCAAUGGGCGAGAGCCUGAACCAGCCAAGUAGCGUGAAGGAUGAAGGCUCUAUGGGUCGUAAACUUCUUUUAUAUGGGAAUAAAGUUUUCCACGUGUGGAAUUUUGUAUGUACCAUAUGAAUAAGGAUCGGCUAACUCCGUGCCAGCAGCCGCGGUAAUACGGAGGAUCCGAGCGUUAUCCGGAUUUAUUGGGUUUAAAGGGAGCGUAGGUGGAUUGUUAAGUCAGUUGUGAAAGUUUGCGGCUCAACCGUAAAAUUGCAGUUGAAACUGGGAGUCUUGAGUACAGUAGAGGUGGGCGGAAUUCGUGGUGUAGCGGUGAAAUGCUUAGAUAUCACGAAGAACUCCGAUUGCGAAGGCAGCUCACUAGACUGUCACUGACACUGAUGCUCGAAAGUGUGGGUAUCAAACAGGAUUAGAUACCCUGGUAGUCCACACAGUAAACGAUGAAUACUCGCUGUUUGCGAUAUACAGUAAGCGGCCAAGCGAAAGCAUUAAGUAUUCCACCUGGGGAGUACGCCGGCAACGGUGAAACUCAAAGGAAUUGACGGGGGCCCGCACAAGCGGAGGAACAUGUGGUUUAAUUCGAUGAUACGCGAGGAACCUUACCCGGGCUUAAAU
RNAcentral lists this ribosomal RNA (987 nucleotides) under Bacteroides ovatus. RNAcentral's name for it is "bacterial SSU rRNA". It matches the Rfam family "Bacterial small subunit ribosomal RNA", at positions 8 to 986 of the family's 1533-position model. RNAcentral also lists the same sequence under 1 other name. The record is from RNAcentral. Lineage: Bacteria; Pseudomonadati; Bacteroidota; Bacteroidia; Bacteroidales; Bacteroidaceae.